This 1893-nucleotide long non-coding RNA is filed under the name Musa acuminata (dwarf banana). Its description in RNAcentral is "long non-coding RNA (MACU_LNC003574)". Lineage: Eukaryota; Viridiplantae; Streptophyta; Magnoliopsida; Zingiberales; Musaceae. The record is from RNAcentral.
CGGGUCAUCAGCAUGAGCUGAAUGCAUGGAGGAGAGGACACAGCAAGGUUGAGUUCUUUAGCCGUCUUCGCCAACCUCGUCGCGGUGGAAUUCGAUGACAGGGAGAUGAGAGGGGAUGCGAAGAGAAGCCAGCAGCUUGAUGGUGGAGUGAGAGGGGUGGAUGCAGGUCACUCCUAUAUCCCAUCCUUUCUUUGCUCUGCCAGUCUUCCCUCCCAAAGCUCGGCUCAAAAUCUGCAUACAGACAAAGAUGUCAUCAAACUAUGCCUCAUGGUCAUGGUUACCGAAAGAACACAUUGAUCCGAGAGAUAGAUAUCCCACAUCAACAAGGUUCUUCUGAUCUAUUCUUUAUAAAACACAUCGACAGUUUUACCCAGUUGAUGAUGUCUAUACCAUAUAUCCAAGACAGAGAGAGAGAGAAAGCAGUCACCAGUUGUCAUUUUCUGAAAGGAAGAAACUGGAAAUGGGGAUGAGGAGGGCCAGUGGCAGUGCAGUGACAAGAGUGUUGUGCCAUGGCUCCUUUACUGUGGUUACUAAAUUAGAUGGUGCUUCACUCUGUGGUCAGUGGAUAGAGAUGGUGGAUCUCCUCCGUGGUCCCCAUGGUGCAACAAAUCUUCUUAGAUAGCUACUUGGCAAUGCUUGAUCCUGCAUUGUGCAGCUUUAAUGACCACCCACUCUUGUGGAUGUUCCAAAUGAAUUGUCUCCACAUGAUACCUGAUCCCUAGACAUCACCACAUGAUAUGUUGUUCCUAGAGAGUGAAUCUUGCUGUCAUGAUAAAGUUUGUUCUUUUUGAGAUCCAAUUAAGCAGUGUUCCCGCUACCAAACUAAACUCUUCCCUUCCUUGCAAAGAUGACACUAAUAAGACUCGAGUACAAUAGUAUUUCUCAGAUUUCACAUUGAUGGAAGCAUCACUUUUUUAAUGGAUGUCAAAUCAAGUUAAGAGGAAAAAAAAAAAUAGUACUAUUGUCAUAAAAAAAAUUCUUGUUUGAAUGCCAUCUAGGAAGGCUUAAAAUAAAAAAAGAAAAUAAAAGAUGAAGAGACAAAAUUUCCAGGGCUCCAACCCCAAGAAGAAGACUGACCCAUUUGUAUUCUGACCUUAUUAAAAAGGUAAACAAAUAAACGACUUAGCUUCUCAUUGAUUGAAAACUAUCAAGGCUAAUCUGUAGUCCUAAUGGCAGAUCAGUAGGUUUCAUCAAAAUAAUGGAGGCAUACAGAUGAGCUCAGAGAGGACAUAGACUGGACUUAGAAUCAGUCUCCCCAGUCACAUCAAAGUUGGUAAGAGUAUGAUCAAGCUGUGGAAAUAGGUAUGGCAGUUUCCAGAUUCUUUGAUUGUGUCCCUGUUUAUGCAUGCACCACAUUAUUCCCGUCAAAGUCUUUUCCUGAUCUCCUCCUUCAAAUGGGGGCUUUUCGACCAUGGUAUAAGCAUGAAAGACACCAAUCUAUUCACAAUCAUAAAGUAAUCAACCUUCGUCUGAUGAGACUUCUUACCUGCCUAGGCUUGUCAAUGAUAUUCUUGGCUUAUGUAUCUGUCACAUCCAAUCUCUACCGACAGAGCUUUAAAUCUAACAUUGAUCACAUUGUUUUUACUCUCUCAUCUCUCUAAAAGAAAUUGCUACGAGAAAAAUCUCCAAGAUCAUGUUUUCUGCGUGCUCCAACUAUUACCGGUUUCCACUGUGGGGUAAUUUCACAGACAGAAGAUAUGCACUACUGAGGAGAAGAGGGUAUACCUGGUGGCCAAAGCAGACACCGAGGACCUUCUUCUUGAGGGAAUCCAAGGCCUUGAGGAAGGAGACGAGGUCGUUGAUCCACUGGUCGUCGCCGUGGGCGUCGUUGCAGCUGCCGGUGAUCACGAAACCGUCGUACGUGCCGACGUCCUCCAUGCACGGCAGCUCGCG